This is a long non-coding RNA of Rattus norvegicus (Norway rat), 679 nucleotides long. The record is from Ensembl. NCBI's taxonomy places the organism in Eukaryota, Metazoa, Chordata, Mammalia, Rodentia, Muridae.
CAGAAGAGAAAUGAAGCCUGGGUAAUGAAUGCCAUCACUGCAGACGAGUUAUUAUGCCUUUGUAUUAUUGGUCUUAUUAUUCCUUGAUGGUGGAGAACAAAAUACAAUGGGUCAUAGAGGAGCUCUUGGUUGAGUAGAGAUAAGAUGUAAGUCCUAGCUUGUUUAUAGGUCACAUGAUUGGGAUCUGCAGGAUCUACAGCAGUCAGAAUACCUGAGGUCCAUCCCAUUUUGUCUGCAGAAUAUUGUGCGCAGAGAUGUGGAGUCCCUUGCUCAAAAUCAAAGGGCUCUAAGGCAGCUCAGUUGUAUCAAGUCGAUCCACAGUUUCCAAAAUCAGAGGUAUGGCCUUCAGAAAAGACUGCAAAAUGAUGGAGUGCACCGAAGGCAAAUGGAAGCUAUAAUGGGAAGGCAUUUUGGAGCAGAGUCCAAAUGCAAAUUGGUUGUUACGGAAACUAUUCAGAUCCAUCUGGUGCCUGCAUGUGAUGAAUACUGGAAAUCUGAUCAAUGGAUAUGCGUUUUGGCAAUGGUAAAGGAACGUAAAACAGGACAAGUCAGGCCACCAGAGUGUGGGUGUUGGACACAGCCCUUCUUGCAAAUGUGUAUCCAAUACUCACACCAUGUUGUCAUCAGGGCGGAAGGAAAGCAGACCUUUAGUGUGAAAUAAGGUGUGACUAUCAAAGAC